Molecule: long non-coding RNA, 438 nt
Filed under: Sphaeramia orbicularis (orbiculate cardinalfish)
Lineage: Eukaryota; Metazoa; Chordata; Actinopteri; Kurtiformes; Apogonidae
Description: lncRNA (ENSSORG00005002188.1)
Source: RNAcentral
UUAUCGAUGGCGAACGAGGAAACCGCCCAAGAAUCUAUUCACUGGAGCAACUGCUGCAGGAAGCUGUCCUGGAUGUACGUCCAGAGUCAGAGGCUGUACUCACUGAAGGGACAAGGGUGUGUGCUUACUGGAGUGAACGAUCACGCUGCUUAUACCCCGGCUACGUUCGCAGAGGUGGUUCAUCUGAAGAGGGGAAGCCAGGAGGAGUGAUGGUGGAGUUUGAUGAUGGAGACCGAGGAAAGAUUUCCCUCCAAAACAUUCGCCUCCUACCUCCAGGAUAUCAGAUUCACUGUGGGGAGUCGCCUCCUGCCCUUCUACCCAGUGGGACAACAGCCAAAAGAAGUUCAAGUCUGGAGCAGGCCCCAUUAGUGAAAGACCCUCUGACAGACUCAGCACUAUUAAUACUGUUACCAGCAACCAAACUGUUCACAAAAGGAG